Molecule: ribosomal RNA, 440 nt
Filed under: Serratia marcescens
Lineage: Bacteria; Pseudomonadati; Pseudomonadota; Gammaproteobacteria; Enterobacterales; Yersiniaceae
Description: bacterial SSU rRNA
Rfam family: Bacterial small subunit ribosomal RNA
Source: RNAcentral
UUAAUUGAAGAGUUUGAUCAUGGCUCAGAUUGAACGCUGGCGGCAGGCUUAACACAUGCAAGUCGAGCGGUAGCACAGGGGAGCUUGCUCCCUGGGUGACGAGCGGCGGACGGGUGAGUAAUGUCUGGGAAACUGCCUGAUGGAGGGGGAUAACUACUGGAAACGGUAGCUAAUACCGCAUAACGUCGCAAGACCAAAGAGGGGGACCUUCGGGCCUCUUGCCAUCAGAUGUGCCCAGAUGGGAUUAGCUAGUAGGUGGGGUAAUGGCUCACCUAGGCGACGAUCCCUAGCUGGUCUGAGAGGAUGACCAGCCACACUGGAACUGAGACACGGUCCAGACUCCUACGGGAGGCAGCAGUGGGGAAUAUUGCACAAUGGGCGCAAGCCUGAUGCAGCCAUGCCGCGUGUGUGAAGAAGGCCUUCGGGUUGUAAAGCACUUU